UACGAAGGGGGCUAGCGUUACUCGGAAUUAUUGGGCGUAAAGCGUGCGUAGGCCGCUUAGUAAGUCAAAAGUGAAAGCCUUGGGCUCAACCUAAGAAUUGCUUUUGAAACUGCUAAGCUUGAGUACUGUAGAGGAUAGCGGAAUUCCUAGUGUAGGGGUGAAAUUCGUAGAUAUUAGGAGGAACACCGGAGGCGAAAGCGGUUAUCUGGACAGUCACUGACGCUGUUGCACGAAAGCGUGGGGAGCAAACAGG
RNAcentral lists this ribosomal RNA (253 nucleotides) under uncultured organism. RNAcentral describes it as "partial 16S ribosomal RNA". It matches the Rfam family "Bacterial small subunit ribosomal RNA", at positions 524 to 776 of the family's 1533-position model. The record is from RNAcentral.